GAUGAAGAACGCAGCGAAAUGAGAUAAGUAAUGUGAAUUGCAGAAUUCAGUGAAUCAUCGAAUCUUUGAACGCACAUUGCGCCCCUUGGUAUUCCGAGGGGCAUGCCUGUUCGAGCGUCAUUAUAACCCUCAAGCUCAGCUUGGUGUUGGGGCCUGCUGCACUGGCAGCCCUUAAAAUCAGUGGCGGCGCCAUCUGGCUCUAAGCGUAGUAAUUCUUCUCGCUAUGGAGUCCUGGUGGAUGCUUGCCAUCAACCCCCAAUUUUUCUAUGGUUGACCUCGGAUCAGGGAGGGAUACCCGCUGAACUUAAGCAUAUCAAUAAGCGGAGGA
RNAcentral lists this unclassified non-coding RNA (328 nucleotides) under soil metagenome. Its description in RNAcentral is "partial contains 5.8S ribosomal RNA, internal transcribed spacer 2, and large subunit ribosomal RNA". The stretch from base 1 to 120 matches the Rfam family "5.8S ribosomal RNA", at positions 35 to 154 of the family's 154-position model. The record is from RNAcentral.